Molecule: ribosomal RNA, 194 nt
Filed under: uncultured bacterium
Lineage: Bacteria
Description: partial 16S ribosomal RNA
Rfam family: Bacterial small subunit ribosomal RNA
Source: RNAcentral
CCUACGGGAGGCAGCAGUAGGGAAUCUUCCACAAUGGACGAAAGUCUGAUGGAGCAACGCCGCGUGAACGAUGAAGGCCUUCGGGUCGUAAAGUUCUGUUGUAAGGGAAGAACAAGUGCCGCAGGCAAUGGCGGCACCUUGACGGUACCUUGCGAGAAAGCCACGGCUAACUACGUGCCAGCAGCCGCGGUAAU